AUGUGGAAUGAUGAGCUUCAAGUUCAUGUGCAUACGGCUUCCUUCUACGUUAUAUUAGCAAACGUUGUACAUAUUGCUACGGGUAGGGAUUUUGGGCUUGUUUGUAUCUAUGGUGAUCCUUAUCAUAGACAAACUGAUGUGAUUUGGGAUCAAAUUUCUAAUUUUGUGUAUGAUAAUCCUGGCAAGCCUGUAUUAUGUCUGGGAGACCUUAACGAGCUUUUGUAUGAUAUGGAUAAAAGUAAUGUUAAUGUGAAUCAUCGUCGCUUGCAUGCCUUUCGUGCUUUGAUCAAGAACUGUGGUUUUUUUGAUUUGGGAUUUUCGGGGCCUGCUUAUACUUGGACAAAUAGAAGAUUUUCUUCCAAUCCUACUUAUGAAAGGCUUGAUAGAGGAUUAGUUAAUCCUGAUUGGUGUGUUGAGUUUCCCCAUACUAAAGUUCUGAAUCUUCCUAUUAUUCUUAGCGAUCAUGCUCCUAUCUUUAUUACCACUGAAGGUCAAUACAAAAAACCUAAGCAAACUUUCAAAUUUGAUAAUUGGUGGCUGAAAGAAAAUGAUUUUCAAUCUUUUGCAAAGAAUGCUUGGGCCUCUAGUACAAACAGAAAUUUUUCUGCUCGUACUAACAAUCUUGCAGGUGCUCUGAAAGUGUGGUGCAAAAAGAAGAAACCUUUACAGCAGGAACUCUCCAGCCUAGAAGAACAAAUCAACCGUAUUCAAAUGCAGCCUCUAUCCAUGCAGGACCAUCAACUGGAAUCAACACUCGUUGUCAGACCUUUUCUAGCAUCCAGGAUCAUUUCUAACAGCCAUGACUACACGUAUAGCAUACCAGAUAAGGAGGAGAUCCUUAAUACUCUCAAGGAUAUGAAGAUAAAUGCCUCUCCUGGGCCUGAUGGAUUCAAUAUAGAAUUCUAUAUUGCCACUUGGAGCUGGAUUGGUGAUGAUGUUACGACUAUGGAGAUAACUCAUUCGUUUGCUCUUAAAUCUUGGAAACAACAAGCUUUCUUGCUUAAAAUUGAUUUGGCUAAGGCUUUCGAUCGACUUGAAUGGAAUUUCAUCGUUUCGGCUCUUUCGCGAAAGGGGUUGCACGGUCAUUUCAUAAAUUUGGUGUAUGCUUGCAUCUCUUCCCCAAGGUUCUCAGUCAUUAUUAAUGGCCAGCCUUUUGCAAAUUUUCGUAGCAAUAGAGGUUUAAGACAAGGUUGUCCCUUAUCGCCUUAUCUGUUUGUUCUUGCUAUUAAUGAGCUUUCUUUAAGCCUGCAUGAUGCUAUGAUACAAAAUCAACUGUCUGGCAUUUCUCUUGGUCCAAACUGUCCACCUAUUCAUUCAAUGCUUUUUGCUGAUGACUUGUUGGUUUGUGGUAAUGCCACAGUUCAGGAAGCUACCCAAAUGGCUCAUCUCAUCAACCACUUCUGUUCCCAAUCAGGAACCGACUGCUUCGGCUAUUAUUGCAACUCCUAUAGUUCUUGA
Molecule: ribosomal RNA, 1458 nt
Filed under: Triticum aestivum (bread wheat)
Lineage: Eukaryota; Viridiplantae; Streptophyta; Magnoliopsida; Poales; Poaceae
Description: partial small subunit ribosomal RNA
Source: RNAcentral